AUUGAACGCUGGCGGAAUGCUUUACACAUGCAAGUCGAACGGCAGCACGGGGCAACCUGGUGGCGAGUGGCGAACGGGUGAGUAAUACAUCGGAACGUGCCCAAUCGUGGGGGAUAACGUAGCGAAAGUUACGCUAAUACCGCAUACGAUCUAAGGAUGAAAGCGGGGGAUCGCAAGACCUCGCGCGAAUGGAGCGGCCGAUGUCAGAUUAGGUAGUUGGUGGGGUAAAGGCUCACCAAGCCGACGAUCUGUAGCUGGUCUGAGAGGACGACCAGCCACACUGGGACUGAGACACGGCCCAGACUCCUACGGGAGGCAGCAGUGGGGAAUUUUGGACAAUGGGCGAAAGCCUGAUCCAGCCUUUCCGCGUGCAGGAUGAAGGCCUUCGGGUUGUAAACUGCUUUUGUACGGAACGAAACGGUCUCCUCUAAUACAGGAGGCUAAUGA
RNAcentral lists this ribosomal RNA (447 nucleotides) under uncultured bacterium. RNAcentral's name for it is "bacterial SSU rRNA". It matches the Rfam family "Bacterial small subunit ribosomal RNA", at positions 30 to 475 of the family's 1533-position model. The record is from RNAcentral.